CCGGCGCACGGGUGAGUAACACGUAUCCAACCUGCCGAUGACUCGGGGAUAGCCUUUCGAAAGAAAGAUUAAUACCCGAUGGCAUAGUUCUUCCGCAUGGUAGAACUAUUAAAGAAUUUCGGUCAUCGAUGGGGAUGCGUUCCAUUAGGUUGUUGGCGGGGUAACGGCCCACCAAGCCAACGAUGGGUAGCCGAGCUGAGAGGCUGAUCGGCCACACUGGAACUGAGACACGGUCCAG
This 238-nucleotide ribosomal RNA is filed under the name uncultured bacterium. RNAcentral's name for it is "partial 16S ribosomal RNA". It matches the Rfam family "Bacterial small subunit ribosomal RNA", at positions 95 to 334 of the family's 1533-position model. The record is from RNAcentral.